AAAGGUUGACCUCGGAUCAGGUAGGAAUACCCGCUGAACUUAAGCAUAUAAUAA
RNAcentral lists this ribosomal RNA (54 nucleotides) under Colletotrichum fragariae. RNAcentral describes it as "partial 28S ribosomal RNA". Lineage: Eukaryota; Fungi; Ascomycota; Sordariomycetes; Glomerellales; Glomerellaceae. The record is from RNAcentral.